UCCCGUUGAUCCUGCGGGAGAUUGCUGCUAUGGGAGUUCGACUAAGCCAUGCAAGUCAGAGGGAUCUUCGGAUCACAGGCUGAAUGCUCAGUAACACGUCAAUAAUCUGACCUUGGAUCUGGCAUAACCUCGGGAAACUGGGGCUAAAACCGGAUAGAUAAGAAUCACUGGAAUGUUUUCUUAUUGAAAAGCAAUGUCCAAGGAUGAGUUGGCGGCUGAUUAGGCAGUUGGUAGUGUAAAGGACUACCAAACCUUUGAUCAGUACGGGCCGUGAGAGCGGUAGCCCGGAGAAGGGUACUGAGAUACUGACCCUAGCCCUACGGGGUGCAGCAGGCGCGAAAAUUUUACAAUGUACGCAAGUGCGAUAAAGGAACUCCCAGUGCUCAUGCUUAGCAUGGGCAUUUGUUAAGAGUAAAUAUCUUAGCGAAUAAGUGGUGGGUAAGACUGGUGCCAGCCGCCGCGGUAACACCAGCGCCACGAGUGGGGAUCGCGUUUAUUGGGCCUAAAGCGUUCGUAGCCGGAUAAAUAAGUCUUGAGUGAAAUCGUUGCGCUUAACAAAACGACGUGCUUGAGAUACUGUUCAUCUUGGGACCGGGAAGCGUUAGGGGUAUUCUUGAGGGAGCGGUAAAAUGCUAUAAUCUCAGGAGGACCAUCUGUGGCGAAGGCGCCUAACGAGAACGGGUCCGACGGUGAGGAACGAAAGCCGGGGGAGCGAAGCGGAUUAGAUACCCGUGUAGUCCUGGCCGUAAACGCUGCGAGCUAGAUGUUGCAUGUUCUACAUGAAUAUGCAGUAUCGAAAGGAAGCUGUUUAGCUCGCCGCCUGGGAAGUACGGUCGCAAGGCUGAAACUUAAAGGAAUUGGCGGGAGAGCACCACAAGGGGUGCGGCGUGCGGUUUAAUCUAACUUAACGCAGAGAAUCUCACCAGCAGCGCCGGCAGAAUGAAAGUCAGAUUAAAUGUUUUACUUGACGAGCCGAGAGGUAGUGCAUGGCCGUCGUCAGCUCGUGCCGUGAGGUGUCCUCUUAAGUGAGGUAACGAGCGAGACCCAUACCCAUAAUUGCUAGCAGGUCCUUUAGGAUGACUGAGCACGUUAUGGGGACUGCUGCGGAAACGCAGAGGAAGGUGUGGGCUACGGUAGGUCUGUAUGCUCCGAAUCUGCUGGGCUACACGCGCGCAACAAUGGCAAGGACAACAGGAUGCGACACCGAAAGGUGGAGCUAAACCUUUAAACCUUGUCUUAGUUUAGAUUGUGGAUUGUAAUUCAUCCUCAUGACACCGGAAUCCCUAGUAAUCGCAAGUCAUCAUCUUGCGGUGAAUAUGUCCCUGCUCUUUGCACACACCGCCCGUCAAACCAACCGAGCGGGGUUUGGAUGAGAUAUGGCUUCUAGCUAUCUCGAAUCUAAAUUUCGUGAGGCGGGUUAAGUCGUCACAAGGUA
Molecule: ribosomal RNA, 1435 nt
Filed under: metagenome
Description: bacterial SSU rRNA
Rfam family: Archaeal small subunit ribosomal RNA
Source: RNAcentral